This 468-nucleotide ribosomal RNA is filed under the name uncultured bacterium. RNAcentral describes it as "partial 16S ribosomal RNA". It matches the Rfam family "Bacterial small subunit ribosomal RNA", at positions 28 to 507 of the family's 1533-position model. The record is from RNAcentral.
GACGAACGCUGGCGGCGUGCUUAACACAUGCAAGUCGAACGGAAAGGCCCUGCUUUUGUGGGGUGCUCGAGUGGCGAACGGGUGAGUAACACGUGAGUAACCUGCCCUUGACUUUGGGAUAACUUCAGGAAACUGGGGCUAAUACCGGAUAGGAGCUCCUGCUGCAUGGUGAGGGUUGGAAAGUUUCGGCGGUUGGGGAUGGACUCGCGGCUUAUCAGCUUGUUGGUGGGGUAGUGGCUUACCAAGGCUUUGACGGGUAGCCGGCCUGAGAGGGUGACCGGCCACAUUGGGACUGAGAUACGGCCCAGACUCCUACGGGAGGCAGCAGUGGGGAAUAUUGCACAAUGGGCGGAAGCCUGAUGCAGCAACGCCGCGUGCGGGAUGACGGCCUUCGGGUUGUAAACCGCUUUCGCCUGUGACGAAGUGUGAGUGACGGUAAUGGGUAAAGAAGCACCGGCUAACUACGUG